RNAcentral lists this ribosomal RNA (253 nucleotides) under uncultured bacterium. RNAcentral's name for it is "partial 16S ribosomal RNA". It matches the Rfam family "Bacterial small subunit ribosomal RNA", at positions 524 to 776 of the family's 1533-position model. The record is from RNAcentral.
UACGUAGGGUGCGAGCGUUAAUCGGAAUUACUGGGCGUAAAGCGUGCGCAGGCGGUUCGUUAAGUUCGGUGUGAAAGCCCCGGGCUCAACCUGGGAACUGCAAUGGAAACUGGCGGGCUUGAAUGCGGCAGAGGGGGGUGGAAUUCCAGGUGUAGCGGUGAAAUGCGUAGAUAUCUGGAGGAACACCGGUGGCGAAGGCGGCAUCCUGGACCGGUAUUGACGCUGAGGCGCGAAAGCCAGGGGAGCAAGCGGG